CUUUCUGAGCAGCCUGUUCCAGCGCCCUCUUGUGUUAGCAUGGAAUUCUGUGUGUUCCAGUUUCAGCCUGUUGCUUCUUAUUCUAUUGCUACACACCACAGAAAAGAGACCGCCCCCAUUGACUUGGCUCCUGCAGUUUAGAAUCUUAUAAGCACUUAUGAGAUCCAUUCUCAGCCUUCUCUUCUCCAGACUGAAGAGUCUCAAGUCUCUCAGUCUUUCCUAGUAUGGCAGAUGCUCAAGGCCCUUAAUCAUCUUUGUCACCCUCCACCAGACUCCUUCCAGAAGAUCCCUGUAUUUUUGAACUGAGGAGCCCAGAUGUGGGCACAAUACUCCAGAUGUGGCCUCUCCCGGGCAGAGUAAAUGGGGAAGAUCACCUUCCUCGACCUGCUGCCCAAGUUGUUUUUGGUGAACGCCAGGAUACCACUGGCCUUCUUGGCCACAGGGGCACACUGCUGGCUCAUGGGCAAUCUGUUGUCCACCAGGAUGCCCUCAUCCUUCUCUACAGAGAACUUGUUCUGAUACAUGUGAUUAUUCCUCCCCACGUGCAAGAUUCUAAACUCCCUCCCUUACUUCCAGAUAUGAAAAGAGUAGUGGGGAGUGAUAAAAUAUACCUGUUUUAAAAUAACAUUUUCAAAAAACUAGCUUUUCAGCUUCUAAAUUCUCUCAAGAUAUUUUCAAAAUAAAAGCAACUUUUUGUGCCAAAUUUUGUAACAGUGUUGUUCUAUUUUCUUGUUCACUUACUUCAGUUGAAGAUGACAAGCUCACUUUGACAGGGUUUUAAUUAGUUUCCAUAUGUGAUCUGAUUAUACUGUGUGGCUUUGAGAUUUUCUUUGUGCAUGGAAAAAGAAGCAAUUUAAGCUAUUUCAGUCAUUCACCUGCAUCAGUCUCAGCAUUCUGAAGACCGAUGGAGUUGUGGUUUUUUUUUUUUUUUUUUUUUUUUUUUUUUUUUUUUUUUUUUUUUUAGUUUUAGUUUUGUAUGUGUAGGGGGUUGGUAGAAAUAUAUAAAUAUGUAGUUAGAUAUAUUUAACAACAAAAUAUGCAUACAUAUAUCAAGCAACAAUGCUAUAUAUAUGUAUGUGGCAUAUGUAUCUAUAUAUAUGCACAAGUAUAAUAGAUAUCUAAAGCUUGUAGUGUUUUUCAGUUGUUAUAUAUUCUUAUAUGUACAUAUGAAUAUUGUUGCUGUCAUUCUAGAUUUUUUGGAUAGACUUAUUUUCUGAGAAAUUGUGUUAGAAGAAGAAACAAAGAUAGACAGGAGGUCAACUGAAGGAUUUUCAGCUGUUAAACUCAAUUAUAAACAAUGACUGAAAUGAAUUUAAAAAUGUCUUUCCUGAAGGGUAAAUGUACUCUGUUCUCCAAUAUCUGACAUGACAGUGCUUAAAGGCUCUUCCUGGGAUGAGCUGAGUUCUGUUUAUUAUUUUAUCUGUUCAAGGGGGAUUGGAACCUAUUGUUUUGUUUGCCUGUUUGUUUUUGCAUCAGUUCCCUUUAGUUUUCAUGUGUGCGUUAAAAAUCCACUGUUAAGUAUAUAAUAAUUUGCUGUAUUCCCAAGAUGAACUGUUUAGCGGACAGGAACAAUUAAUUUACAACACAAAAUGUAUAAAAAGUGUUGGGUUUUUUUUUUUUCAAAGUUGCAACAAUUUAAAGCAGCAAAAUAAAAUGUCAGAGGACAACUUAAUAUAAAAUACAAGGGAAAAAACCCAACACCUAUUCUUAUGGAGAAAUGAUAGAUUACUUUAAAAAAAAAAAAAUCCAUAACAUUCAAAUAAAAGUUGUUUUCCUUUUCAGGUUAUUUAUCUGAUUUGGAAUCUGGAUGCUGACAUAUUCCCAAUUAUAUAAUUAUCUGCUCUGCACAGUCUCUAGGUUAGCAGACUGCUACAGACUAUCUGUAAUAUUUUUUUUUUUUUAAUAUUCAGAGUAAAAAUAUUUACAUCUCUCUGCUGAAUCCAUAUUUUUUUUUAAUUACUUCUAAAAUAGUAUUCACUAACAAAUAAAUGUUGGCAUUUAUUGUUGUAUUUUUUUUUUUUAAUAUGUUCCCCUCUCUCAAGAAUCUUCCACUUGAAAGAAAUAAUUUUAAAAUUUAGAAUGUGAUACAGAAAAGCCUUUGGACACUUAAAUUUGCCACAAAUCAAACUGACCUAUUAGUAUGUUCAAGCUUUUGAUCUUAGAAGCCCUUAUGUAACAGAACUGGAAAAUGCAAAACCACUUAUUUCCGUACUAAGUCCUGCAAGUUGUAUAUGACCAAAAAUCAUCUUCUAGAAACUUGAUUGUGACUUGAUAACUUCAGAUAAUGGUAUGUUCAUCACUAAUAUGUUCUGCAUAGAGGUAAUUUUUGAUGUAUGAGAUUGUAAUACAUUAGAAACAACAACAAAAAUAAUUUUAUCUGUUAGAAAAUCUUUUCCUAAACUGAAGCCUUACACAUGGAUGUCAUUUCAUGGAUGGUCAACACGUAUAAAUACUUGAAAAGAAAAUAUAAAUAAUAUGGAGUCAGGCUCCAGUGUUGCCCACUGCCAGGACAAGAUGCAGUGGUCACAAAAUGAAACCAAGGAGGCCCCAUCUGUGCAUCAGAAAGCAAGCACUUCUGUGCUGUGCAGGUGAUGAAACUGUGGAACAAGUUGACCAGAAAGAAUAUGCAAUCUCCUUCCUUGUUAUCUUCAAAAGUUGCUGGAAAGUGAUUCUGGGCAAAGUACUCUGGAUGUCCAUGCUGGAGCAGAUGACUUCCAGAGGUCCUUUCCAACCUUAACACUUCUGUGAUUCUAAUCAGUCACUGAGGGAUCUACAUCUUGUCUGCAUUCAGCUACUAUCUUGUUCCUGUGAAUGACAAAAGUUAAAGUGGUAAAGAGCAAAAGAGAUCUUAAACUACAGUGAGUUAAAUAGGAAAAUAACUGGAUAAGUUGCACUGAAAGAAAUACCUCCUAAAUAUUUCCAAAUUACUAUAGAUACAAAGAGCACAAUAACACUACUUGAUAGAGCAAAUUCUCAGCUACAAAGCUCCAUUUUUCAGUAUCAUCACCACCAUUAUCUAUGCCAGCUAUGAACCAGAGCGUGCAUGCCACACUCAUAAAAAUCUGCAACAGUGGAGGUGACUUAGUGGAUGUGACUUACUGCCGUUGUCACUACUGCUGAAAGGCACCACCCAUCACUUCACUGUGCUCACAUCCACUGUUUGUUCUCAAUAAAUGUACAACAAGCAUUAAUGAUACCACCAAGGUCUCCCACUGAUGUCAUGGACCAACAGGAUAAAAUAGCAGCAAAUCUUGUGUAUAAGACAGAAUUAACCACACUGAUAGGAUGACAACUGAAGAAGAGUGCUAAUGUAACAUGAAACAUUUUCAGUAGUACUUUAAUGCUCCGAAGACUGUAAAUGAAACUUUAGAAUUUUUGGUGAUCUAGUUUAUGAAUUUGACUUUCUCAGGUUUGAUGUGUUAUUUAAAGUUGUUAGAAACAGAUCAAAUAAAUGUUUAAUAUACGUAU
This is a long non-coding RNA of Gallus gallus (chicken), 3468 nucleotides long. NCBI's taxonomy places the organism in Eukaryota, Metazoa, Chordata, Aves, Galliformes, Phasianidae. The record is from Ensembl.